CAGGUUGACUGCACAUGACUCUGUUAACAUAUGUAAGUGAGGCAAUAUUUAAACAAUUUAAUUAAAUGUUAACAAGGACAUAUGCAUAAAUAAAUUAAGUGUGUAACUCACUUGUUAACCUCACACUUUAAAUUCUCAAUAAGGUACACUGUCACUUUCCUCAUUCCAGUGUUAAAUUGAUCUAUACAUUGUUUUACACUGUAGGCAAUGUGAGUAACAAUUGCUGAUUAUUAUGUAACACACAAACACGUGGUCACUCACACAUACAUAUACAAAUGAGCGUAUUAAUAUACUUAACAGAUAACAGAUCUUAAUGUAAAAUUGUAAGUAAAAUUCAGACUAUAAUAAAACACAAUUUAAUAGUUAUUUUAAGAACUCAGAUUUUUCAAACUUUUUUUUAAAUUGAAUGAUUUUUUUAUUUGCAAAUUGUCCCUCGUUAUGUAUAUUUCUCUAUAUAUUUCAUAUUUAUUACAGACCUAAAAUGGCUGCUUAUUUGGUUGAAGAUUUCAGUCCAGUCAAGUACAAAUAGUUAACUUUCUACAUCCAUGUUUUUCAGCAAAUGUUUAACAUUCUACCUUCAUGUCUUUCAGCUGUGCUACAUUCUAGCACUGGAGGAAAAUCCAGCUCAGGAGGGAAGUCCCAUGGUACAAGUGAUCAUAAGGGAGGAUUUAGUGCAAGCAGUGGGAGAAGCUUUAGCCACCUCUCCAAAAGCAAACAUAGCUCUGGCCACGGACACCACUGCUAAAGUAAAAGCUAGCCAGUAUAGAUUGUAGUGAAAGUAUAGAUUGUAGUGAAAUCACUGGCAUUAUAUAUUAUCAAUCUGCUAUAUUGAUCUGUUUGGUAUUCACUAUGCAUAGAUCAUUCUCAUUUGCAAACUCAAAAUAUUUCUAUUCCCCAUCUUCUCUUAGGAUAAUCCUCACUCAUAUGUUGUAAAUAUAAGCUUUACUACAAACCUGUA
Molecule: non-coding RNA, 958 nt
Organism: Pelobates cultripes (western spadefoot toad)
Lineage: Eukaryota; Metazoa; Chordata; Amphibia; Anura; Pelobatidae
Source: the annotation of a GenBank genome assembly